Molecule: ribosomal RNA, 260 nt
Filed under: uncultured bacterium
Lineage: Bacteria
Description: partial 16S ribosomal RNA
Rfam family: Bacterial small subunit ribosomal RNA
Source: RNAcentral
CCGGUACAGAGGGCAGCUACCUGGUGACAGGAUGCGAAUCUCGAAAGCCGGUCUCAGUUCGGAUUGCAGGCUGGAACUCGCCUGCAUGAAGUUGGAUUCGCUAGUAAUCGCGCAUCAGCCAUGGCGCGGUGAAUACGUUCCCGGGCCUUGUACACACCGCCCGUCAAGCCAUGAAAGUCGGGGGGUGCUUGAAGUACGCUUACCGCAAGGGGCGCCCUAAGGCAAAACCGAUAAUUGGGGCUAAGUCGUAACAAGGUAAC